This 823-nucleotide long non-coding RNA is filed under the name Ananas comosus (pineapple). Its description in RNAcentral is "long non-coding RNA (ACOM_LNC020065)". Lineage: Eukaryota; Viridiplantae; Streptophyta; Magnoliopsida; Poales; Bromeliaceae. The record is from RNAcentral.
AUAUAAACAAAAAAAAGCUAUUUUUAAACGUACAGCUAGGGCAUGUUUGGUUCGCUUUUUUUUCACCUUGGGAUCGGAAUUGGAAUGGGUAAAUCCGUUUAUGGGUGUUUGGUACGCGAGAGUUCCAUUUCGAUUCCGAUUACUAAGUGGAAUGGAAAUCCCCCAAUCACCUCUUUUUCAAUCCGGUUUAGGAGGCCGGAUUGGAAGUUGAAUCAGGACGGAAUGGAUAUUUAUUCGGAUUAAAUUUAUUUUUUUAAUUUUUAAAUUAAAAUAUGAGUUAAAAUUUAAAAAUUAAAUUAUAUAAUUUUAAAUUUUAUUUUGAACUUAAAUUAAAAAUUAAAUUUUAAUCAAGUAUUUCGAAUCUAACUUAUGAAUUUGAAUUUAUUUUUUAAAAAAAAUAGAUUUAAAAUUUUUACAUUAUUUCAAAAUUUUGAUGUAAAUUUUUAAUAUUUAAUUUUAAAUUUGAAUUUAAAUUAAUAUAUUAUAAAGAUAAUAUUAGUAUAUUAAUUUGAUUAUAUUUUUUAUAUCCACCUCAACCAAACACCGACAAUGGGAAUAAUUUAUUCCGAUUCCGAUUCAGGUGAUGAACCAAACAGAAUUAGGUAAUAAGUCAUUCCGAUUCCGAUUCCAGCUUAUUUUGAUUACGAUUUCAAUUCCGAUUCCAACUUCGAACCAAACACGCCACUAGUGUUAUCUCUGUAAAAUUAUUAUUUUGCCAUCUAAAAAUACCUUUCUACCGUCACUAAUUUUUUUAUUUGUCUCUAAGUUAGGGACAGAAGAGGUAUUUUGAUUUUUUUUUUUUUUUUAACUGUGCUAGAAAUUU